This 396-nucleotide ribosomal RNA is filed under the name uncultured bacterium. RNAcentral's name for it is "partial 16S ribosomal RNA". It matches the Rfam family "Bacterial small subunit ribosomal RNA", at positions 523 to 918 of the family's 1533-position model. The record is from RNAcentral.
AUACGUAGGGAGCGAGCGUUGUCCGGAAUUACUGGGUGUAAAGGGAGCGUAGGCGGGAUGGCAAGUCAGAUGUGAAAACUAUGGGCUCAACCCAUAGUCUGCAUUUGAAACUGUUGUUUUUGAGUGAGGUAGAGGUAAGCGGAAUUCCUGGGGUAGCGGUGAAAUGCGUAGAUAUCAGGAGGAACAUCGGUGGAGAAGGCGGCUUACUGGGCUUUUACUGACGCUGAGGCUCGAAAGCGUGGGGAGCAAACAGGAUUAGAUACCCUGGUAGUCCACGCUGUAAACGAUGAUUACUAGGUGUGGGGGGACUGACCCCUUCCGUGCCGCAGUUAACACAAUAAGUAAUCCACCUGGGGAGUACGGCCGCAGGGUUGAAACUCAAAUGAAUUGACGGGG